UUCCAAACUUUCUCCAAUUAGUUUUUUUAUUAUAGAAAUUGUUAAUUCUAUUUAAAAUUUCUUUUUAGCUUAAGAUGAGAAGAAAAUAGGCUUAAUUGUAGAAAAAUAUUGUAGAAUAUUUCACUUAGAAGUUCCAGGACUAAUCUCAUGCUAUUCCUACUUUUUGCAUAUAAAUGUUGAUUGCAGUUUCUUUAUUUACAACACUUAGGUAGAAUAUUCAUGCUUGUGGUAUUGAGCAACUGUUUGAACUCUUUGUGCCUGUUGCCAACUCCCAUGGAUUCUAUGACAAUAAAGAUCAUGUCUUGUAUGUCUUUGUAUCUCUUAUAGCAAAAUAGAUCUCAGUUCUAUGGAAGAUACAAAUUAAGGGUUUGAGAUAGCAGAGUAAGAGCAUGUAGUAGACGGGAAAUAUACAUGUAGUCCAGGUCAGGCUUAUAGAGAAAGUGGCUCAAUGAGCCAGGGAUUCAAUAAGAAGGACUAAAUAUUAUUUGGUAAUGAGUGGCUGGCAA
This 506-nucleotide long non-coding RNA is filed under the name Bos taurus (domestic cattle). RNAcentral describes it as "long non-coding RNA NONBTAT026889". The record is from RNAcentral. Lineage: Eukaryota; Metazoa; Chordata; Mammalia; Artiodactyla; Bovidae.